UUACGGGCAUAUCAAGCUGAAACACUGGUUCCAUAUGAUCACCGAAGUUAAGCAUGGUCGAGCCUGGUCAGUACCUAAAUGGGUGACGAAUUGGGAAAAGAAGGU
Acanthosepion pharaonis is the source of this 105-nucleotide non-coding RNA. The record is from the annotation of a GenBank genome assembly. NCBI's taxonomy places the organism in Eukaryota, Metazoa, Mollusca, Cephalopoda, Sepiida, Sepiidae.